CUAAAAUGCUAUAGCAAGUGUAAGAAUGGUUUUGAUAAUUGAGUGGUGAUAGUUAUGAUGUACAAAGUGAGAAGAAUGAAAAAGGAGAAUAAGAUAGGGGUGGUUGUUGGUGGUGCUGCUGCAGAUGCACCAGUACCGCUGAAUAUCAUUCCGAACAAGUCGACACUGCCGCUAUUGGACUGGUCAUGACCCCUGCCGCUUCCUUCACUAGUGCCGCCGCCCACUUGGGGUAAGAUGCUUAUGCUAUUGUCCCUGGGGCCACCAAGGACACCAGCAUUGGCGGUGAGCUGGUUGAUUAGAAGGGCGGAUUUGGGAUCAACGCUGUAGGCUUUGGUAUAUUGGUUGCUAAGGCCUUGCCCUGAAGGCACAAAAAAUGCGCCAUUAACCAUAGUGUCCCCGUCCGUCCUCCAAUUCCAUUCAUCCCACUGCCCAUUGUCUGUGUCCUCCCGCUUCGUCACCUCCUUCAAAUUUGGAUCAUCGGGAGCAGUAUAUCGAUUUCCUUGACUGUUAAUGGUAGGAUUAGCACUUCCACCAAUUGCAUACAUUUGCCAGUGUGUGAAAUCGUUGUUCACCACAUGUACAUAUCCUCUUCUAAUUCUUGGCAUUCUUUGCACUAAUCCUUCUCCGAAAUGAUUGAAUGCAAUUGUCACCUGCAUUCCUGAAUCAGGCAAGUAUUUAUCAUCAUGUCCCAAGAGCAUAACAUCAUCAUGAUGACUAAAAUAGUUAUUCGAUAUAGUAAUAGCAGUAGACCCCAUGAUUGCAUCAAUCAAACCGUCGGUACAAUGAGAUAAUGCACAGUGAUCAAUCCAGAUAUUAUGAGAUCCAAAGAUGGAUAUACCAUCACCGUCCGAUUUGCCUCUCCACCCAACAUGCGUUGGGCUCGACCGUAUGUUAGUAUUACCCGAAGGGACACAAUUGUAAAUAUGAACGUUAUGUAUAAUCACAUGGCUCACAUACUG
This 959-nucleotide unclassified non-coding RNA is filed under the name Hevea brasiliensis (rubber tree). Lineage: Eukaryota; Viridiplantae; Streptophyta; Magnoliopsida; Malpighiales; Euphorbiaceae. The record is from RNAcentral.